This 449-nucleotide ribosomal RNA is filed under the name uncultured bacterium. RNAcentral's name for it is "partial 16S ribosomal RNA". It matches the Rfam family "Bacterial small subunit ribosomal RNA", at positions 29 to 523 of the family's 1533-position model. The record is from RNAcentral.
AACGAACGCUGGCGGCAUGCCUAACACAUGCAAGUCGAACGAACCCUUCGGGGUUAGUGGCGCACGGGUGCGUAACGCGUGGGAAUCUGCCCUCCGGUUCGGAAUAACAGUUAGAAAUGACUGCUAAUACCGGAUGAUGACGUAAGUCCAAAGAUUUAUCGCCGAAGGAUGAGCCCGCGUAGGAUUAGGUAGUUGGUGGGGUAAUGGCCUACCAAGCCGACGAUCCUUAGCUGGUCUGAGAGGAUGAUCAGCCACACUGGGACUGAGACACGGCCCAGACUCCUACGGGAGGCAGCAGUGGGGAAUAUUGGACAAUGGGCGAAAGCCUGAUCCAGCAAUGCCGCGUGAGUGAUGAAGGCCUUAGGGUUGUAAAGCUCUUUUACCAGGGAUGAUAAUGACAGUACCUGGAGAAUAAGCUCCGGCUAACUCCGUGCCAGCCGCCGCCGUAA